Small nucleolar RNA from Grammomys surdaster, 132 nucleotides. RefSeq annotates it as small nucleolar RNA SNORA17. The transcript has a single exon. The record is from RefSeq and is a predicted model, not a curated record. NCBI's taxonomy places the organism in Eukaryota, Metazoa, Chordata, Mammalia, Rodentia, Muridae.
CCUGCCCCUAGAUGUGUUGCAGGUGUGACUGCUGUGUCACUUGUGCCUUAAUAGGUAGAAGAGAAGAGAAAGGCUAUGCCUAAGUUCAGUGUUCUGACCUAUGACCACCUGAAGGAUUAGUAGACUAGCAUU